CCCAACACAGCCUCAAGAUUUUGGAGUGGAAAUGAUUAGACAUGUGAGCCAAGGGACGUGCAGGCAAUCACGUAAAGCUCAGUGCCUCUAAGAAGAGAUGAAACUUAAUACAGCACCCGUGACUCAGAGCGGUAUUUGCAUAUCCUUGAUCAAGGAAAAAAAAAAGUGACUGGGAGCUCAAGAAGAGCGGGAUCUGGGAAGAGGCAAAAAGAAAAGUAUAGUCAGAAGUGGGUGAGGCUUUCCUCCCCUGGAACGUGCUGCUUUGCACCUGGAAAUGUCUGCCUAGGCACAGCCCCACCACCGCCCACUCUCCUCCCCAUGCUGGAUAUUCCCAUGCAGGCUGAUACAAGCAAGCAGAGACUGUGGGAUCUGGCUUUACCCUGUCUGGGCAAGAUGACUUUCUCAAGAUCAUCUUACACAUCCAUGCUAAUGCAGACAACAGAGGUUUUGUUACUCCCACAUUCUCCUUCUCUCUGCAGACCCUGGACACACAUCCUUUGGUUAUCUGCAUGAAUAGGCCUUUGAGGAUAAUUUUUGCUGAAGAUUUCUACAAGAAAUUCAGAGGAACUUAAAACCACAAGAUACACAAACAGCAAGUCUUAAGAUUCAAACUUCAAGGUUCGGACUCAUUUUAAGGCAUGGAAACAGCAUGGAAAACCACAGCCCAGUGCCCUCAAAUUUAUCAGCCUUCCUAGUAAUUGGAAAUUAAGUUUUAGAGCCAAGAUGCCAGGUCAGUGUGAACAAUCAGAAGUGGUCCCAGCUCAACCCAUCACUGUUUCCGGGCAGUUUGAUUGAAAUGUCAGCUCUCCUGGAUCUGAUCAUCCAGCACACAAGCUGCAGAAUGUGUGACUGUUCAUUUCAGCGCCUUAUCGCUCUCAUCUUACACUUAGUCCUUUCCAAUAGACUUUGCUGUUUGUCAUGUAGAUACUUAUUAACCCAAAUUAAUCAUUUGGACAUCACUGGCUUGGUUUCUUAUCUGGAAAUUAUAUUGUGAUCAUAUUUUACAUGCACACACAAAUUAAUGCAUGAAACAGAAAAGAAGACCCUGCUAAGCCCAGGCAGUAUAACAAAUACUUCCUCUUCCAGGUGACACAUCUGCAAGGCCUCCCUAUUAAUGCAUAUUUUCACCAACAUUUAUUGAGAUGAAAAUAAGUUCUUGGGAUGCCUCAUUUUUAAACACACCGACCCUGUGAAAGGUUCUCUACAGGCACAGACCAGUAAUUGUCAGUCUAAAAAGGCAACUGUACUAUGUAGUAAAUGUCUGUGUCCAUGCAAAACACACAUAGAAAUCAGUAUAUGCACAUAGAGUUUGUUCAGUAGUUGGUGGUCCUCAGACCUUUCCCAUCUUCUGUCAAAUAUAUCAAAUCACAUCUCCUGAUCUCCAAGAUUAUCCAAAAUCACAGGAUUUACCUUGCACUGUCCUGCAUACACAGUAUACUGCAACACCACACCCUGUUUCCAGCCCAUUAAAACAAGAGCCAAGCUAAUGAAUCCUUUAAUAAGGUCAUCAACCACCCCAGGGCACCGUACAUGACUAAUUGGGUAGAUAGUCACAUGCAGGGCAUCAUCUCUUCAAGCUGGAAGACUGGGGCAGUGUGCUGCAGGUGAGACCUACCCUUGCCAACCAAGCUAUACAAUUAUGGGUGGGGUUGCAGACCCUCACCUUUAUAUCGUGAGUUCUCCCAUUGCACAAGCCAACCCUUCACUCAUCUCUUGUCAUGUGGCUCUGUGUCCCACAUGCUGCAGUGGGUCCUUCCAUCAAGCCAUUCUGCAAGGAAUCUGAGGCAAAGAAAAACAGCUGAUUAGGGGAAAAAAAAAAACACAAGAAAAAGGCAAAUA
Molecule: long non-coding RNA, 1839 nt
Organism: Numida meleagris (helmeted guineafowl)
Lineage: Eukaryota; Metazoa; Chordata; Aves; Galliformes; Numididae
Exons: 3
Source: RefSeq, a predicted model, not a curated record